Xiphophorus hellerii (green swordtail) is the source of this 789-nucleotide long non-coding RNA. RefSeq lists it as uncharacterized. The transcript is spliced from 2 exons. The record is from RefSeq and is a predicted model, not a curated record. NCBI's taxonomy places the organism in Eukaryota, Metazoa, Chordata, Actinopteri, Cyprinodontiformes, Poeciliidae.
CUGACUGAAAGACCAACCGACUGACCAAGUGACCGACCUACCGACUGACCGACCGACUGACCGACCGACUGACCGACCGACCCACCCCAGGUGAAAUGUAUGUACACCCCGUACACCCAGCUGAUCCAGACUGGCAUUAUUUAGAGAAGAUAGAGAAAAUGAAGAAAGUAAGUACACCCUGCUGUCUUCCCACCCUGACAGGUUUGCUGGAGGCUGAACCAGAACCAGUGAUCUAACUGGGUUAACUGGGAUCUUCUGACUGGUUGGGGAAAUCUCACCUGUGAGGUCAAAGUGUCUUUCAUCACGUUUCUUACGCAACCCCGCUGCAAGCCGUGGGACCGGAGGAGCCGUGGAGCGCUGCUGCCCCCUGCUGGAGCUGCCAUGAACGGCACCGUGUGAUCAGCUCAGUUUGAUUAUUUAUCAGGGACGAUGUUAAAAAAACAUCAUCAAUAAGUGGCGGAGAUUUUCUACAGAUUUAGCUUCAGCUGGUUUCCAUCUGCAGGUGACUUACUGUAAAAUCAUCCAACAUGCAUCCAUAUAAUAAUAAUAAUAUAUUAUUAUCUCUCAUUUUUAUUCACUUAUUGUUUGUGCAGCUGGACUUUUUCCUUCUUGCUGUUUCUGGUCACAAACUUUUCCAUGUAGCGCCGCGACGCUAACAGUAGCAGCAAAGCAGCCAGUCAGAAAGAUGAGCAUGACAAAUAACAUUUCAAUCAAUUAUUUUACCUUCUAUUUUAUAACAAUGAUUGAAAAGCAGAGUAAAUUUUAUGAUUAAAAAAAUAUUACACCCUA